GACGAACCGUGCGAACGUUGUUCGGAAUCACUGGGCUUAAAGGGCGCGUAGGCGGGCAUCAUAGUCAGGGGUGAAAUCCUCCGGCUCAACCGGAGAAGGGCCUUUGAUACUGGAUGCCUCGAGGGGUGCAGGGGCGUGCGGAACUUCGGGUGGAGCGGUGAAAUGCGUAGAUAUCAUUUGGAACGCCAAUGGUGAAAACAGGUUGCUGGGAGUGUGCUGACGCUGAGACACGAAAGCCAGGGGAGCGAACGGG
RNAcentral lists this ribosomal RNA (253 nucleotides) under uncultured bacterium. RNAcentral's name for it is "partial 16S ribosomal RNA". It matches the Rfam family "Bacterial small subunit ribosomal RNA", at positions 524 to 776 of the family's 1533-position model. The record is from RNAcentral.